CAUUUUUGUUUCUCUGUUCUACGUGAUUCACAUGGAGGUGCAAUAAAGAUGCACAAGGAUUUUGCCGGAAUCGAUUGGGAAAAGGAGGAUGCUUGUUAAGUGCAGUUGAAGGAUCUGUUAAAAUCCUUAGGAGCUAUUCGUCCGAUAGAGAAUGGACUGGGAAACCUCUCUAAUAUUGCAUCUUUAUUAUGUUCUUGCAGGAAAUCUUAAGUCGUCCUGUAAUUGGACCCCUUUUGGGCCAGAGUUAUUGGGAAUAACGAUGUAAACGAACCAAACAAGCUCCGAAGUCCAAUGCUGUUACCCAAGCGCUCAUGUCAAUUAGGCUAGACACGUAAAUUAAAGGCAUUGCGAAGGCGCUCCAGAAGUUCGCUGGGAUGGCUGCGACUAUGCAAAUUCUUCUGAAGAAAGCGUGAACAAGACCCUACAAACAAAGGGGCAGCGGAAGCUACUAAAUUGAAGACACUAAAGUUCAUUAUUUUUCAUCUCAUGUAAUGAAAGAAUGAUAUUAAUUUCAUUUAUUCUGAUCCUUUGUUGUAUCGUUUUGUUAACCUUGAA
Long non-coding RNA from Papaver somniferum (opium poppy), 555 nucleotides. RefSeq lists it as uncharacterized. Lineage: Eukaryota; Viridiplantae; Streptophyta; Magnoliopsida; Ranunculales; Papaveraceae. The record is from RefSeq and is a predicted model, not a curated record. The transcript has 3 exons.